RNAcentral lists this transfer RNA (92 nucleotides) under Chloroflexota bacterium. RNAcentral's name for it is "Chloroflexi bacterium (sediment metagenome) tRNA-Ser". It matches the Rfam family "tRNA". Rfam says of the family: Transfer RNA (tRNA) molecules are approximately 80 nucleotides in length. Their secondary structure includes four short double-helical elements and three loops (D, anti-codon, and T loops). Lineage: Bacteria; Bacillati; Chloroflexota. The record is from RNAcentral.
GGAGGCCCAAUACAGUGGCCGAGUGCGCCCGCCUGCUAAGCGGGUGGGGCGGGUAACCGCCCCCGUGGGUUCGAAUCCCACUCCCUCCGCCA